UACGGAGGGUGCAAGCGUUAUCCGGAUUUACUGGGUUUAAAGGGUGCGUAGGUGGGUAGGUAAGUCAGUGGUGAAAUCUUCAAGCUUAACUUGGAAACUGCCAUUGAUACUAUUUAUCUUGAAUGCUUUGGAGGUAAGCGGAAUAUGUCAUGUAGCGGUGAAAUGCUUAGAUAUGACAUAGAACACCGAUAGCGAAGGCAGCUUACUACGCAGUUAUUGACACUGAGGCUCGAAAGCGUGGGGAUCAAACAGG
RNAcentral lists this ribosomal RNA (253 nucleotides) under uncultured bacterium. Its description in RNAcentral is "partial 16S ribosomal RNA". It matches the Rfam family "Bacterial small subunit ribosomal RNA", at positions 524 to 776 of the family's 1533-position model. The record is from RNAcentral.